GGGGACGUAGCUCAGUUGGGAGAGCGCGUGAAUGGCAUUCAUGAGGUCGUGGGUUCGAAUCCCAUCGUCUCCACCA
Molecule: transfer RNA, 76 nt
Filed under: Bacillota bacterium
Lineage: Bacteria; Bacillati; Bacillota
Description: Firmicutes bacterium (anaerobic digester metagenome) tRNA-Ala
Rfam family: tRNA
About the family: Transfer RNA (tRNA) molecules are approximately 80 nucleotides in length.
Source: RNAcentral